Long non-coding RNA from Cynoglossus semilaevis (tongue sole), 581 nucleotides. RefSeq lists it as uncharacterized. Lineage: Eukaryota; Metazoa; Chordata; Actinopteri; Pleuronectiformes; Cynoglossidae. The transcript has 3 exons. The record is from RefSeq and is a predicted model, not a curated record.
GUUUCGUUCUGUGCCAAGAUUAAAGACGAGGACGUUUUAGUUCAACAAGAGUCAAACUACGGCUGUGUCCAUCAGGACGUCGAUCUUCACGGUUACUCGUUCUUCAGAUCACUCAUGUAGCUCUUUAUGAGGAAGUGAAGGCAGGGAAAUAAAACACACUCGUUUCCAUCUGUCUGCGUUAUUUUGGACAAUAAAAAAAUGAAUGAUUCUCACGGCGAUCAAACGUAGUCGACGUGAGUGGACGCGGUGCCGCGGGCAGACCGGAGUCGGCAGCACAUAAAGGUGAACAUUCCUGUUGAAAGUCAGCUCCCGCAUUCCCUCUGCGAGCAGGAGGAGGAGGCGAAAAGGAGGAGGAGGAGGAGCAGGAGGCGCCUCUCCGGUUACACCGCCGGGAUACGCCGUCACAAAAACAAACGCACAGAACAGCAGCAAAAGGGGGAGGAGGGGGAGGAGUGAACACCGACGAAACGACCAAGAGUCCACGGAAACAGAUCGGAACAAGUUUGAAAUUAAAAAAUUAAAAAGUGAAUCAGCAGCAACAACGACAGCAUCAUUAGCUUUAGCUUAGUGACGUACUUCCG